CUCGUUGCUUCGUACGAAUAUACACAAAGCAAAGACGAAGGUUAACGUUUACCGGAAAAUGUAAAUACAUAUUAAGCUAUUCGCAUUUGGUAGUUGCUGAAAAUAUGGUGUAGAAUAAAAUAUCAAAUAUUCUCUUUAGCGUAUAAAUUAUGCGAGGUGUGAAAAUCAUAAAAAUAUAUAUACAUACAAUGGAAAACGCUUGCUGCUGAAGUGAAAAAUAUUGAUAAUUUGAAUGAUUGUAAGUUACUAAAAAUAAAGAAGAGCAAUUGUUUUAAAAAUGGUGCAAUUAAUCGCUAAACCUGAGUAAACAUUUUCUGACGAAAUGGAAAUCGGAAAGUAGCUGAUAAAAAGCUUAAAAGUGUAUUGUGCAAUGACGAGCAAUGUAAAUACAAAAUGAAAACACAAAUUUCUACACUAAUGAUCAGACCUGAACGCUCUCCAAGCGCAGCAUGAUGCUACAACCGGAUAUACUGGUCUAUAAUGAGGCGCAAAUGCCACUACCAGGUCCCGUGGGCGUGGUCGAGCAAUGCUUACCGUGUUCAUCACUCGCAGCAUCAUUCACUUCAGUAAAAUCUAAUUAUCGCCAAUGUUGGACUCUUCUAUGUGGAUAUGCUCAACGAUGACUUUCGAUAUGGAUGGGCAUGAAUUGAUAGUAUUUCUGCAUAUACAAAAGAUCGGAGGCACAACGUUUAGACAGUAUUUGGUACGUGACUUGGAUCUAAAGCAUAUAAGCCAUGCCAUACUCAUGGACCAAUCGUUUUGAUAUUGUUUUUGAUAUUUCUGAUGAGAGGAAGACAUUGCGCAGCAACGUAAUAAAUCCGAUAAUAUUCGUUCAAUAUAUUCAAUCGCUUCCCAUUCCCAAUAUACCAAACCGGAAGAACCUAUUGAUCCAGUGGAGUAUCAGCAUCGCUUAAUGGAGUAUAUUAAAAUGCAACAGAACUUAGUUCUAAAACGCUUAGACGAUAUUGAGAAUUGAUAAUUGAAAUAGUUCUAUUUAUUGCUUCCCCAAGCAUAACCAUACAUUACAGAGCUUGAAAGCCAGAAUGAGAAUGAGAAUUUAUUGACAUAAUGACGUCUACUGUCUUCAAAGAGCUGAAUGUUAUGAAGCAACGAUCUAAACUAAAUGCUUUGGUAAACUCAAAACUAACUAUGAAAAUUUUCAACUAAAUUUCUGGUAAAAGCGAAUUCAAAUUGUAGAUUUAGUUCAGUUUAUUAUGUUUAAAAGUUAUAAAAUUGCUUUAAUAAUCCAUCUAUAGAUAUACUAUACGUUUGUAUUACGUUUCCUUUGUCUUUUAACAAUUGAUUUGAACUUUGUGCUUGUAUUGUUAAUGUUCAACGAAAUAAAUAAUGUGAAACAAAUUGAAUA
Zeugodacus cucurbitae (melon fly) is the source of this 1366-nucleotide long non-coding RNA. RefSeq lists it as uncharacterized. Lineage: Eukaryota; Metazoa; Arthropoda; Insecta; Diptera; Tephritidae. The transcript has 3 exons. The record is from RefSeq and is a predicted model, not a curated record.